RNAcentral lists this ribosomal RNA (192 nucleotides) under Bacillus sp. UNCCL81. RNAcentral's name for it is "16S rRNA. Bacterial SSU". It matches the Rfam family "Bacterial small subunit ribosomal RNA", at positions 19 to 207 of the family's 1533-position model. Lineage: Bacteria; Bacillati; Bacillota; Bacilli; Caryophanales; Bacillaceae. The record is from RNAcentral.
CUGGCUCAGGACGAACGCUGGCGGCGUGCCUAAUACAUGCAAGUCGAGCGGACUAAUGGGAGCUUGCUCCCGUUAGUUAGCGGCGGACGGGUGAGUAACACGUGGGCAACCUACCUGUAAGACUGGGAUAACUUCGGGAAACCGGAGCUAAUACCGGAUGACAUAAAGGAACUCCUGUUCCUUUAUUGAAAG